GCCGCUGUAGCUCAGUAGGUUAGAGCGCCUGAUUGUGGAUCAGGAGGUCCCUUGUUCGAAUCAAGGCAGCGGUACCA
This 77-nucleotide transfer RNA is filed under the name Hyphomicrobiales bacterium. RNAcentral's name for it is "tRNA-His". It matches the Rfam family "tRNA". From Rfam's summary of the family: Transfer RNA (tRNA) molecules are approximately 80 nucleotides in length. Their secondary structure includes four short double-helical elements and three loops (D, anti-codon, and T loops). Lineage: Bacteria; Pseudomonadati; Pseudomonadota; Alphaproteobacteria; Hyphomicrobiales. The record is from RNAcentral.